This 518-nucleotide long non-coding RNA is filed under the name Homo sapiens (human). Its description in RNAcentral is "HSALNT0367181". Lineage: Eukaryota; Metazoa; Chordata; Mammalia; Primates; Hominidae. The record is from RNAcentral.
UUUUUUUUUUGGAGGUAGGGGGAGAAUCCCAGAAAUACCAGAGCACAGAAUAGCAGAUUUAUGAAGGACCAGUUCUCUGGAGAUAAUGUCACAUUUAUCCCAAUAAUCUUUAGAUGUUUAUACCUUAAAAGUUACUCAGCUGAAGUUGCUUUCAAAUUAAACACCAUUGCUGCAGUGUUUCUGUUGUGAUUGUCGGAGGGAAGUGGAGCCAGUGCAAUUUGUCCAUGUUUUACAAAUCACCAUCUGGCAGGGAUAUGGCAACAUGUGAAAUCUUCACAGGACUCUUGUUUUUCUACUAUCUGCUGGAUAACUAAGGAGAUCACCAGACUGCUGGGACGCCUGCCAGAUAGUAAGCAGGACUAUGGACUGUGUGUUGAAACUUCCAAUGUUUGAAGAUCUGCUUCUUUGCCCUCUGAACUCUGAGCAAGGAACCUUUCCAAACAGUGUGAACUCAUUGGCUUCCCCAUAACUCUACAGAGCUCGCGCUGCCAUAUAACUGGGAAUCAGAGAGGUGAGGU